AGAGUUUGAUCCUGGCUCAGAUUGAACGCUGGCGGCAUGCCUUACACAUGCAAGUCGAACGGCAGCACGGGGGCAACCCUGGUGGCGAGUGGCGAACGGGUGAGUAAUACAUCGGAACGUGUCCUGUAGUGGGGGAUAGCCCGGCGAAAGCCGGAUUAAUACCGCAUACGCUCUACGGAGGAAAGGGGGGGAUCUUAGGACCUCCCGCUACAGGGGCGGCCGAUGGCAGAUUAGCUAGUUGGUGGGGUAAAGGCCUACCAAGGCGACGAUCUGUAGCUGGUUCUGAGAGGACGACCAGCCACACUGGGACUGAGACACGGCCCAGACUCCUACGGGAGGCAGCAGUGGGGAAUUUUGGACAAUGGGGGAAACCCUGAUCCAGCAAUGCCGCGUGUGUGAAGAAGGCCUUCGGGUUGUAAAGCACUUUUGUCCGGAAAGAAAUCCUCUUCGCUAAUACCGAGGGGGGAUGACGGUACCGGAAGAAUAAGCACCGGCUAACUACGUGCCAGCAGCCGCGGUAAUACGUAGGGUGCAAGCGUUAAUUCGGAAUUACUGGGCGUAAAGCGUGCGCAGGCGGUUCGCUAAGACAGAUGUGAAAUCCCCGGGCUUAACCUGGGAACUGCAUUUGUGACUGGCGGGCUAGAGUAUGGCAGAGGGGGGUAGAAUUCCACGUGUAGCAAGUGAAAUGCGUAGAGAUGUGGAGGAAUACCGAUGGCGAAGGCAGCCCCCUGGGCCAAUACUGACGCUCAAUGCACGAAAGCGUGGGGGAGCAAACAAGGAUUAGAUACCCCCGUAGUCC
This 799-nucleotide ribosomal RNA is filed under the name uncultured bacterium. Its description in RNAcentral is "bacterial SSU rRNA". It matches the Rfam family "Bacterial small subunit ribosomal RNA", at positions 8 to 796 of the family's 1533-position model. The record is from RNAcentral.